UGGAAGGGUGAUGCCAAUAUGCUGGGAGCA
This 30-nucleotide non-coding RNA is filed under the name Mus musculus (house mouse). The record is from RNAcentral. Lineage: Eukaryota; Metazoa; Chordata; Mammalia; Rodentia; Muridae.